GAUGAAGAACGUAGCGAAAUGCGAUAAGUAAUGUGAAUUGCAGAAUUCAGUGUAUCAUCGAAUCUUUGAACGCACAUUGCGCCCGCCAGUAUUCUGGCGGGCAUGCCUGUCCGAGCGUCAUUUCAACCAUCAAGCCCCGGGCUUGUGUUGGGGACCUGCGUCCGACGCAGGCCCUGAAAACCAGUGGCGGGCUCGCUGUCCACACCGAGCGUAGUAACUAACCUCGCUAUGGAGUGGCGCGGGCGCCUGCCGUAAAACCCCCAAUUUCACAAGGUUGACCUCGGAUCAGGUAGGAAUACCCGCUGAACUUAAGCAUAUCAAUAAGCGGAGGA
Molecule: unclassified non-coding RNA, 332 nt
Filed under: soil metagenome
Description: partial contains 5.8S ribosomal RNA, internal transcribed spacer 2, and large subunit ribosomal RNA
Rfam family: 5.8S ribosomal RNA (bases 1-120)
Source: RNAcentral